CCUGCUGUGGCUGGCGGGCGCCCCGACCCGGCUGUUCGCCGGGGUGCUGGCGGUCGCCGCGCUGCUCGGCGCGAUCCUCAUCCGCACCAGCGAGA
Molecule: transfer RNA, 95 nt
Filed under: Streptomyces albogriseolus
Lineage: Bacteria; Bacillati; Actinomycetota; Actinomycetes; Kitasatosporales; Streptomycetaceae
Also listed under: 3 other names
Description: tRNA-Asn
Source: RNAcentral